RNAcentral lists this ribosomal RNA (497 nucleotides) under uncultured bacterium. RNAcentral describes it as "partial 16S ribosomal RNA". It matches the Rfam family "Bacterial small subunit ribosomal RNA", at positions 899 to 1397 of the family's 1533-position model. The record is from RNAcentral.
ACUCAAAUGAAUUGACGGGGGCCCGCACAAGCGGUGGAGUAUGUGGUUUAAUUCGAAGCAACGCGAAGAACCUUACCUGGCCUUGACAUCUCCUGACCGCCGUAGAGAUACGGUUUUCCCUUCGGGGACAGGAUGACAGGUGCUGCAUGGCUGUCGUCAGCUCGUGUUGUGAAAUGUUCGGUUAAGUCCGGCAACGAGCGCAACCCCUGUUCUUAGUUACCAGUAUUAAGUUAGGGACUCUAGGAAGACUGCCGGUGUUAAACCGGAGGAAGGCGGGGAUGACGUCAAGUCCUCAUGGCCCUUACGGCCAGGGCUACACACGUACUACAAUGGUAGAAACAGGCUGCUGCAAAACCGAAAGGUCAAGCUAAUCAGUAAAACACUAUCUCAGUCCGGAUUGAAGUCUGCAACUCGACUUCAUGAAGUUGGAAUCGCUAGUAAUCGGGGAUCAGCAUGCCCCGGUGAAUACGUUCCCGGGCCUUGUACACACCGCCCGU